GCAUUUCAUGCAUCAUUUGCAUAACAGGUUCCUUCCGCCAGGUGUCUUAUCAGUUCUUCUUCUGUGUAUCAGCCAAGCUGACUCAUCGCUAUAAUACCCGAGCUAAUCAAAUGAAGAGAAUGGAGCACCUAAACAAGAGAACAAAGAGCUAAAGGAUGAGUUUGCCAGACUCACAACCUUGAUGGAGUCUGUGAUAGCUUCUUUGAACCAACUGUCUCCAC
This 221-nucleotide long non-coding RNA is filed under the name Lathyrus oleraceus (garden pea). Its description in RNAcentral is "Pisum sativum (pea) long non-coding RNA (PSAT_LNC015586)". Lineage: Eukaryota; Viridiplantae; Streptophyta; Magnoliopsida; Fabales; Fabaceae. The record is from RNAcentral.